This is a long non-coding RNA of Hordeum vulgare subsp. vulgare (domesticated barley), 2387 nucleotides long. RefSeq lists it as uncharacterized. The record is from RefSeq and is a predicted model, not a curated record. The transcript is spliced from 2 exons. Lineage: Eukaryota; Viridiplantae; Streptophyta; Magnoliopsida; Poales; Poaceae.
CCCUCUCCUCAAGAUUUCCCUGCUUCUCAUCCAACCGGUCCUCUUUAUUCAGAAUCGCGUUAUUUAUUCAGAUCUUCGAUUUGGGCCAUCGCCUGUGAAAUCCAUGGACUAAUCGAUGUAAUAUCUUAGUUGAUGUGUAGUUCUUGAUUUUUAGCCCAUCAGUCAGAUGAGUACAUGAUCUGUGGAGAAGAACAUCACCAUGGAAAACUUAGUUCGUUAACUGUUCCUAAGCUAGUUCGUUGACUAUUCCUGAGUCGAAGGUUGAGUCCUGUUAAAUAAACAGUGAAAUCUGCAACUACUAUACUGUCAAAUCACAUCCUUGCACAACUAGUUCAGCAGAGAUCAUUAUCUGUUUAUCCUAUUGUUGUACAGUAGGCAGACAUGGUGUUUGCACUUGUGAGAAAUUUAUCUUAUGGUGUUGUAGUUCUAAUUGGUACAUAUUUGAUUUUCCUUAUAAUUUUUUUUUGUUCAUGCUAUGGAUACUAGUAUUUACCUUAGGUGAUUGUUCCAAGAUACGCACAUAAACCUUUCAAUAGAUAUAAAAAAGUUCAAUGUUUCACUGAUGUUUCCUUUUGCAUUAGUUCUUGAGGAUAGUUGUUAUUGGGUUAUCUUGUUGUGCUCCAUUCUGACAGUAGAUUCUUUACUUCAGUGCAUGCUGAUCUUUGAGACUGCACAAGUUCUGCAGCUGAUAUACUCAAUGGAGGAUCUCCCAGAGCCACUGCCUGCAGAGAUUGUCAAGAGGUGCCUGCUGAGCGCUUUGCACUGAUUCCGUUCCUCUCUUUGUUGCCUGUAGGAACAAGGGGAUCUUCUGACGGCGCACGCGCUCGCAUUCUGUUUGGCGUUGUUGUUCUAGCUGUUAGCGCUAGCUCCAUUCUACAUGGAAAGGGAGGGAAUCGCAUCCGUAUCCGUGGAAUCCUCAGAUGGAUCUGCAGGCUAUGGAUCGAUGCCACAGUAUUGGCCAAACACAGCCAGUUCAUGUUUAUCUGCAAUAUUGUAUUUUUACUAUCUUUGCCAAUUUGAUGCGUAUCUGCAAAAAUUCAAUAGGCCAAUUACCAUAUCAUAUGCUCCAAGGUUUAUAGAUUCUGUUUUUUAUUUUAUCUCAAGCAUUGUACCAAGACUGGACAUAUUUCUUAUAUUGUAAAUAUUCUGUCAAUAUGCAAACAACAACAUAGCUAGAGAUGCUAUGUUAUAAUUAAUGUCUACUUUGUUGUAAAUUCUUGCUUAUAUUGGUGGUUUUCCUUCUGUUCCAAGACUGGACAUAUUUCUCUCUGGAUUGUGCAAGUUAAACGAACUUCUCUAAUUUGAAUAAGUUGGGAUCCCGACUUCCAUCGGUCCUUUCUUAGGUGGAUGUGUAUAGGUGCAGUAGUUUAUCAUCUGUCAACUUUAUAGGUACUAGAGUCAACAAAAAACAAAGCUCAAUUCACUUAUCUACAAAGUAAAGCAUUCAGAAAUAAGUUUGCAGUGUUGAAUCAGUACACAUCUUUUAUCUUGAAUUUUUGUAGUAUGGAAAACACAUUAGUAAAUCUGAAUAACUUUGACAUAUUUUCUUGCACUGGAUUGGUACCUGUGAUUGCCUUGUACAAAUAUAUCAUAAUUCUGCUAACACCGAUCCUUGUGUAUGUCUAUAGCUGUUAGUUCUUUGAUCUGUCCACCGAGGAAGAGGAGGCAUCUUUGAUCUGUCCACAGUGUAUGUCCUUGGUCUGUCCCACUCUCUUCCUUGUCUUAUUUGGACACAUUGGUGAAUCUGCUAUUCUUGUGAUUUUCCAAUUCUAUGUAUAAGAAAUGAAUCUGUAGCCUUUAAUGAAUUCAAUGUAUGAUUGUGAUGGGAAUUAUAUGAUAUCAACAUGUUUUUAUCCUUGAUUAGUAUCGAUUUUGGUAUCUCUUAAGCGACACAUACUUUUCUCGCUCUGAGUUCCUAAGCAUGGUAUUAUAUUUGUGUUAGCUAGAGCAUAAAAUCUUUGAAUUUGGUGAACAUUAGUAGCUAAUUAAGUUGUGACCCAUUGAUGUCCUGCUACGUUUAAUUUGUUACUGCCAUGGUAUUGAUACUGUAGUGUUUAGAAUAUGAUCCAUUCUAAGUUCUGGUUUCUCCGAAGGGACACUUCUAGUCUGCAAGUAGAAGGCAGCGUUAGAUUAAUAUGCAACAAGCUGAUCUAUAGCAAAUAAUGUUGCAUGUAACUUUUUUAGCUGGUUCCUCUUUUACAGGAGCUGCACGCUUAAUAUGAAGCCAAGCGUGAAGAGUUGUAGUAGUGUAAAGAUUGUAAUAGACUAAUUUAGUGUUUUUUGGAUGAAUUUCAUUUGUUCUGUGAUCUGUUCAAAAUAUUGAUUUCGUCUGUGAUUUGUAUACCUAUGAAAUGGAAACCUCACAAAUUGUUUGACAAAUUACAAAA